This is a long non-coding RNA of Aethalodelphis obliquidens (Pacific white-sided dolphin), 3241 nucleotides long. RefSeq lists it as uncharacterized. The record is from RefSeq and is a predicted model, not a curated record. NCBI's taxonomy places the organism in Eukaryota, Metazoa, Chordata, Mammalia, Artiodactyla, Delphinidae. The transcript has 3 exons.
ACGGGCCAGUCUUCAGAGAUCCCAGCGUGCGAAAGUCAUGGUCACGGGCACCCUGAGUGCGCGGGGACCGCGGCCACCUGAGCGCAGGGCCUCUGCGCGCGUAACAACGCGGGACUCGGGAUCAGGGAUGCAUGGACGCCCGCCUAGGCCGGGCUACUCCACGUUUCCCUUCCGGCUCCCACCACAUCCGGCCCUAUGUGUCAACUCUAGACCGUCACCCUGCUGUCUCUGGAUGGCCUGCAGGCGCCCUGGCGAGGUCGCGGCCCGGGCAACGUCUCUCCCCACCCCUUCCCCGUCCUGUGGUUCUCAGCGUUCUCGGAGCUACUGGAAGGCCACAGAGCACUUGACUGAUUUCUGUAACUCCCUGUUAAGACACCCGAGAGACGUGCAGUUGAACUUGAUAUGAUACCGUAUUGGGGGUCAUUUCUUUCAAAUGUUGGGUCCCAGCUGGUGGUGAUUCCUACCUGAUUUCUCUGCGUGAGAUGAUCUGACCAACUGCGACUGUCAGACAGGACUUUGGUGUCAGUUCAGGAACUGCAGUGACCCCUACGUGCCCUAGAGCAACUGGUCUUGCGGAAAACAGGCUCCUAAGUAUAUUUACUAUUGACCUCCCAGGCGCACUUUCUGGAGGAGUUUCUCACUUGGCCUCUGCUUUCACUCCUGUAUUGAUGGCUCCCUGAUCCACACUCGACACGGAGAUACUUUACCCAUAUUUCUACCUACUCUCUGGUUUUCUGCUUAGAACUUUCCAUCUCAGUUCAGCACUCCCAGCACCAAAUUCUAUCUCUUGCCAGCUCCCAAUUGCAUCUGCUCUAUGGUCUCACCAUUUACGCAGCCCCCUGGUUUGCCUUCCUCAGCUGAAGCUCAAUGUCCAGGGAGGCUUUGCUUCUAAAUCCUGAUAACCUGCUUUUCUCUCCCCAUUUCUGGGAUGCCACACUGUGCUCAGCUCCUUCCUGCCCUGACCACUGACACAAUCCCUUCCCAGUCAUGAACCGCACCUCCCAGCACAAAAUCCUUUCACUGUCCACCUCAGCAUGGCCCCAGACUCUACCACCUGUUUCUCAGUCCACCGCACCCCACCCCCACCCAACACCUCUCCUCCUUCCCUCCACGAUCCUGCUGGCUGUCCUCUCACUAAUUCCAGGCUCUACCCCUUCCCCGGUGCUGCCUCCCUCUUCCCUACCUGAGUUAGGGCACUUCCUGCUCUAAAUGACAGGCAACCCAAUUCACACUCGCUUAAACAGAAAGGAAUUGAUUGACUUACGUAAAUUAAAAGCUCAGGGCACUGUCUGCUUCAGGCCCUGGAAACCAAAGCCUUCAAGGACUCUCCAUCUCCCAGCUUUGCUUCCUUCCAUGUGAGCUAUACUCUCAGGCUCCAUGCGAGACCCCAGCAGAUCCAGGCUCACAACCUCGCAGCAGCAAGGCCAGCAGAAAAACGGCUUCUCUUUGCCCACCCUUCCCGCAGGCCUGUGUCCCGACUCUGCUUGGCACGACUGGGUCACCUGUCCAUCCUGUUCUCCCAGACACUGUGAGCGCCCCCUCUCUGCUACCUUCUCAUCCUCCACAGGGAACCAGUGCCUGCUCCUGGAUCCCUUCUCUGUCACAGUGGGACUGAAGGUGACACGGGACACCAUGGCUAACCAUUUCCCCACAAAGUAUACCACAAUACGCUUCACCUAGCUGCAGCCCUCCUGUGUUGGCACGGGGUGUUUUGUUCCAAACAAGAAGUGGGGCACAGGCCCUCUCUCUUUACAGCUUCCUCCUCAGCCUAUCUGGGAUUUCUGUCUUUGUAUCAUACCCCCUCCGUAAGUCAAGACUUGGUACGGAGAUGGCCGCAGGCCCCUCAGGGAACCAGACGUCAUAUUCUUCCUAGACUCACUCUCUCAAUCUCUUUCCUCACUUUCCCUAUUCUCUGAUGGCUUAAUCCCCCCUUCCGUUCUGAAGGAGGUGUCCUCUCCCUCCUCCCUGUGGAUUUUGGGUUCGGAGCGGUACCCACCCUUCCCUGCCCCUGGGGCAGUAACACUUCUUGGCUGAAACUUAAAGGAGGAAGGGGCUACAGGAAAGAAAAAGAUUUCCACAGGGAAAAUAUAUAUUGGGCAGCAUCUCAAAACCGUUCCCCCCAUUAAACCUCUUUCCUCUGUUGUUGUUGAGGUAAGAUGGGGCCUGAAGCAGCUGGUGGCCUUCUGACCAGCACCAGGGGAUGCCAAGCCAGAGCCGACACAGGAAAACAGAGUCCAGAGACAGGCAGCUUCCUGUUGCUCCUAAAACUAGGACCUGGAUUUUUCAAAUGCAUUAUUAACUUGGCUAGCAACAAGACCUCAUAAAUGCAAAGUGCCCAUUCAAGAACACCGCUUCCAGCACAGAAUAAAUAAGAUACAACUCAUUAAUUCCAGAGAUCCUGGCGUAUAAAGAAUGAGCUCUGUGAAUGGUGAUCUUUGGGUUGUAGAUUCUUGAAGGGCCUGGGUUGUGUGUGGGUCACUUCCCUUGAGUGAAUCCUCAAAACCUGGGGCAGCCCACACAGGCUAGCAGACCAGGCCGGUGACAAAGUAUCAGAAGGAAGUUGGGGGGAGAAAAACAAGUAGAUUUCACAGAAGUUCUACAUUGUGCAAGAGAGGAACUGCAAGAAUAUUGACUCUUACAGCUCUCCUGCCCAGUGCCAUCAUUUAACAUUGGAUUUAGUAAUAUUUGGCAUUUAUUGUGCAAGUAAUGUGGUAGAUAGACCCUAAAACGUCCCCCAGUGAUGCCCACCGCCUGAGAUUCACACCCUUGUGUCACCCCCUCACCUUGAGUGAUGGCAGGACCUGUGACUUGCUUCUAAACAAUAGAAUAGGGCAAAGGGGAUGAGAUGACACUUCUGCGAUUAUGUUACCUAAGAUGUAACUUCUGUCUUGUUAGCUGACUCUCUCCCUCACUGGCUUUGAUGAAGCAAGAUGCCAUAUAGUGAACUACACUAUGGAGAGACCCCCCUCUGGCAAGCAACUGAGGGCAGACUCUGACCAACAUCCGGAAAGGAACUGAGGCCCUCAUUCCAACAACCCGGAAGGAACUGAAUCCAGCCAACAACCACGUGAGCUUGGAAGUAGAUCCUUUCCCAAUCAUGCCUUCAAAUGAGACUCCAGCCCUGGCCAACCCCUUGACUGCAGCCUCAUGAGAUAUCCUGGAGCAGAAGACUCAGCUAAGCCAUGCCUGGAUUCUUGACCCACACAAACACAGAGAUAAUAAAUACGUGUUGUUUUAAGCC